This 459-nucleotide ribosomal RNA is filed under the name uncultured bacterium. RNAcentral describes it as "partial 16S ribosomal RNA". It matches the Rfam family "Bacterial small subunit ribosomal RNA", at positions 338 to 795 of the family's 1533-position model. The record is from RNAcentral.
CCUACGGGAGGCAGCAGUGAGGAAUAUUGGUCAAUGGUCGGGAGACUGAACCAGCCAAGCCGCGUGAGGGAUGAAGGUACAGAGUAUCGUAAACCUCUUUUGUCAGGGAACAAAGGCGGGGACGUGUCCCCGGAUGAGUGUACCUGACGAAAAAGCAUCGGCAAACUCCGUGCCAGCAGCCGCGGUAAUACGGGGGAUGCGGGCGUUAUCCGGUUUUAUGGGGUUAAAGGGGUGCGCAGGCGGUCUGUUAUGUCAGCGGUCAAAGCCCGGGGCUCAACCCCGGCCCGCCGUUGAAACUGGCAGUCUCGAGUUGGAGAGAAGUAUGCGGAAUGCGCGGUGUAGCGGUGAAAUGCAUAGAUAUCGCGCAGAACUCCGAUUGCGAAGGCAGCAUGCCGGCUCCACACUGACGCUGAGGCACGAAAGCGUGGGUAUCGAACAGGAUUAGAUACCCCAGUAGUC